This 1338-nucleotide long non-coding RNA is filed under the name Chinchilla lanigera (long-tailed chinchilla). Its description in RNAcentral is "lncRNA (ENSCLAG00000024149.1)". Lineage: Eukaryota; Metazoa; Chordata; Mammalia; Rodentia; Chinchillidae. The record is from RNAcentral.
GGGAAACCGAAUCUGCCAUCCUGUGGACUGAAAAGGGCCCUGAAAAUGUCACGAUCUGGUGCUCUCCCCUCAGGCAGAGGCAGCCUAAUCUACACAGGUAAAUGAAGUGGAAGAUUAAGUAAUUAUCUUCAGUAUUUGAUUAAUGUGGAAAAUCAACAUGAAAGAUUUUAGUAUCUCAGGGUAUUCUUUUCCCCUCAACUGUGCAUGUUUGAACCUUAACUAAGCCAAUAUUUUCUUAGCUUUCUGUUUGAUUUUGACACCGGAUUGAAGAGGAUGAAUGAAAACAUUUCUAAGGCAGUUUUCAACGCUCCUGGAACAAAAGAUGCAGGCGUAGCCGAGGCCGCCACACAGGUCUCCAUCCUGUCUGUAGAGCACAAGGAAAACAUGCACUGGCCUCUAGGUUGUGUCAGUGUGUAUUCUGGGUCUCAGCCGCAAUCUCUGGCCCUGAAGCCAAAGCUCUUUCCUCCCAAGGCCCUAGCGGGGUCCACACGUGUUCCACGCAUCUGUCUACAAAGCAGACACUUCUGUCUUGUAGGGUUUAUAUGGAGUUCUCUCUGAGACUGUUUAACUUCUCAAGAGGCCUGCUUCCAUCUGCACUCCAAAGGCGUUUGCGUUCUUAACGGACCCGAACUCCUCCUUGGCCUUCCUGGCACAGUCCGUGCCCUGGCUACCACUUGCUUGGGAGCCUCUGUUCUCCGUUGCGUCCUCUGGCUGCUGCUGACCCAGCAGCUCAGUGUAAGGUGGGGGCGGGGUGAAACUCACAGGUCACGGUUCUGGAGUCGUUUCGUGUUUCACGAUCUUAACCACGGGUCUGACUAACUGUAGCAUAGAGGGAGGUUAAAUGCACGCAUGAGCAGAGUGUGUGCGUAUGUGCGUGCCCACCAGUGACUGCCGCCACCUGUCUGUAUCUUCACCUAUUCUAGAGGGCAAAAAAAAAAAACAAAACACCGAGAGAUCUUUGCUUGAUUUGGAGGUUGACCAGGAGGACCCAUGGCUGCUUCGGAAUAGCUUUGUACUCAGAGUCUUGUGUGUCCUGAUUAUGACGAAAUGUAGGUCUGAUAGUGGCAACAGGAGGAACAGGAGAAGAACCGGGACAAUUUCAGGAGUGAUUCAACGUUUCUGCUGCAGUGAUCCUAUCUUCUAUGACCUUCGGAAGCUCAAAAUUAUCAACACAAAGUAUUCUUAAUGGCUGCGUUGUAGCCAGAGUAGUUUUGUGGCAGCUGAAUAACUCUCUUCCCUGUCUGGAAAGGUGCAGGGCUUCACCUUCAAUGGCUAGAAAGGGGAAUUCAUGUCAUUACUAUUUUAUAGAAGCAAUAAAACAAAAAAUAAUUGGAGACA